This 460-nucleotide ribosomal RNA is filed under the name uncultured bacterium. RNAcentral's name for it is "partial 16S ribosomal RNA". It matches the Rfam family "Bacterial small subunit ribosomal RNA", at positions 338 to 795 of the family's 1533-position model. The record is from RNAcentral.
CCUACGGGUGGCAGCAGUGAGGAAUAUUGGUCAAUGGACGAGAGUCUGAACCAGCCAAGUAGCGUGAAGGAUGACUGCCCUAUGGGUUGUAAACUUCUUUUAUAUGGAAGUAAAAUGUUCCACGUGUGGGAUUUUAUAUGUACCAUAUGAAUAAGGCUCGGCUAACUCCGUGCCAGCAGCCGCGGUAAUACGGAGGAUCCGAGGGUUAUCCGGAUUUAGUGGGUGUAAAGGGAGCGUAGGUGUGUUGUUAAGUCAGUUGUGAAAGUUUGGGGCUCAACCGUAAAAUUGCAGUUGAAACUGGCAGUCUUGAGUACAGUAGAGGCGGGCGGAAUUCGUGGUGUAGCGGUGAAAUGCUUAGAUAUCACGAAGAACUCCGAUUGCGAAGGCAGCUCACUGGACUGCAACUGACACUGAGGCUCGAAAGUGUGGGUAUCAAACAGGAUUAGAUACCCUAGUAGUC